This 507-nucleotide long non-coding RNA is filed under the name Helianthus annuus (common sunflower). Lineage: Eukaryota; Viridiplantae; Streptophyta; Magnoliopsida; Asterales; Asteraceae. The record is from RNAcentral.
GGGGCGGUGUGGGGGGCUCCAUAUGGGCGCUAUGCCCUUGUUCGCGCUCCACUACAGGGCAACACAAGAGAUUAGGCCACAAGCCCAUAUACAUCGAACACAUGCAACAAUUGAGAAAGAAGGAAAAGAUAUAAGGAGGCGGCCAUAAUUUUUAUAAGCAUCAUCAGACGCACGUAGACGAUCAGAGGAGGAGCCAUAUUAUUAUUUGUUGAGUUCGACAAACAAGACAGUUGACGGCAGAAAAGGGAGUAGGCAGAGAAAGAGGCGAUCACGAAGGAGAAGAAAUGAUUAUACGGUUCAAGAUUCUAAGCCGCGAUUCAAGACUCAGGAGCUGUUCCAUAGGAUGAUGAUCAUGACACUAGGGCGGACCUGUGCCUUAGAGACUAAAAAUGAAGAUAGACUAGUUUAAUUAUGUCACGAACUCUUUGUUUUCCUGUUUAAGACAAUGUAUUACGCUUGUUAAAUAAAUAAAAUGUAACUUUGGUUUCCACGGUUAUGAAACAAUUA